AGUGAACGCUGGCGGUAGGCCUAACACAUGCAAGUCGAACGGCAGCACAGUAAGAGCUUGCUCUUACGGGUGGCGAGUGGCGGACGGGUGAGGAAUACAUCGGAAUCUAUUUUUUCGUGGGGGAUAACGUAGGGAAACUUACGCUAAUACCGCAUACGACCUACGGGUGAAAGCAGGGGAUCUUCGGACCUUGCGCGAUCGAAUGAGCCGAUGUCGGAUUAGCUAGUUGGCGGGGUAAAGGCCCACCAAGGCGACGAUCCGUAGCUGGUCUGAGAGGAUGAUCAGCCACACUGGAACUGAGACACGGUCCAGACUCCUACGGGAGGCAGCAGUGGGGAAUAUUGGACAAUGGGCGCAAGCCUGAUCCAGCCAUACCGCGUGGGUGAAGAAGGCCUUCGGGUUGUAAAGCCCUUUUGUUGGGAAAGAAAAGCAGCAGGUUAAUACCCCGCUGUUCUGACGGUACCCAAAGAAUAAGCACCGGCUAACUUCGUG
Molecule: ribosomal RNA, 492 nt
Filed under: uncultured bacterium
Lineage: Bacteria
Description: partial 16S ribosomal RNA
Rfam family: Bacterial small subunit ribosomal RNA
Source: RNAcentral